This 352-nucleotide transfer-messenger RNA is filed under the name Deltaproteobacteria bacterium. It matches the Rfam family "transfer-messenger RNA". Rfam says of the family: Bacterial tmRNA, also known as 10Sa RNA or SsrA, is named for its dual tRNA and mRNA-like properties. RNAcentral also lists the same sequence under 1 other name. The record is from RNAcentral. Lineage: Bacteria; Pseudomonadati; Myxococcota; Myxococcia.
GGGGGCGAUAUGGGUUCGACGAGGGCCGGAAGUCGAGGUGGCAUGCUGGGGUUCUGUUAUCCCGUUAAACAAACAGACUGCAAAUUAAACGCAGACAAUUUCGAAUAUAAACUAGCUGCUUAAUCCCAGCUAGCGUCUUACCGGCUUUCUCCCGCGGGGCCGGAUAAGAUGUCAUUCAGCGGGAUGGGCCGAUUCUCCUGCCGGAGGGGAUGAGGCCGAGAUCCAAGCCGGAUAGUUUUGCAGGACCCGGCCGCUGGGGGCCCGCAACGCGAAAUCAAAACAACGGCUAAGCAUGUAGUCAUACUUGGCGGAAAACCUUCGGACGGGGGUUCGAUUCCCCCCGCCUCCACCA